AGCAGCCGCGGUAAUUCCAGCUCCAAUAGCGUAUAUUAAAGUUGUUGCAGUUAAAAAGCUCGUAGUUGAAUUUCGGGAUUGACGUGACGGUCGUGCCUUAAGGGGUAUGAACUGUUACAGUCAAUUUCUCACCUUCUGGAGAAAUAUGAUGUCCUUAAUUGGGUGUCAUAUGGAACCAGAACUUUUACCUUGAAAAAAUUAGAGUGUUUAAAGCAAGCUUAUUGCUCGAAUACAUUAGCAUGGAAUAAUAAAAUAGGACGGCAUGGUUCUAUUUUGUUGGUUUCUAGGAUCACCGUAAUGAUUAAUAGGGAUAGUUGGG
Molecule: ribosomal RNA, 319 nt
Filed under: uncultured Glomeromycotina
Lineage: Eukaryota; Fungi; Glomeromycota
Description: SSU rRNA
Rfam family: Eukaryotic small subunit ribosomal RNA
Source: RNAcentral